Homo sapiens (human) is the source of this 2332-nucleotide long non-coding RNA. The record is from Ensembl. NCBI's taxonomy places the organism in Eukaryota, Metazoa, Chordata, Mammalia, Primates, Hominidae.
GCCCGGCCAGCUGGGCUGGGAGAGACCCGCGCCCCAGGCAUGUCCAAGCCCACCUAGAGGGCGGGAGGGUGGCGGGCGCUCUGGCCCCAACCCUGGCAUCCGAAGCAUCCCCCGCGUUUCCUGCUCCUCACUCAGUCUUCAGAUCCCAGUCCGGCGCCCCCGGUACAAUGGGGAGCCAGGGUGCCCAGGUCAGCCGCAAGGGCCAGCGUACCAGGCGGAGGACCGGCAGGACGCCGGAGACCCCAUCUCCCAGUCCCCCCUGCCCCAGCUCUCUCCCUCCUGCGGAGGAGGCAGAAACGGACCGGCAUCUACCGCAGCCCAGAGUCCCAGGAGUGGCCGCCGAACCCUCACCCCGCGGAGCGCCUGGGCGCCCAGAGCUCUUUCCCUGGGAUCUACGACUCACUUGUGGAAAAUGCACCUGUCAAACGCAGCUAAAGCCUGUGCUGACCUCACAGAACUCUUCUGAGCUUUCGCUGAGCUGGUGCAUCAUUUCAUACAUGGAGAGAUCUCAGUGAAUGUUCCCAGUCAACUGCAAUGGCCUGGCUCCAAUGCUUCCUCCUCCAGAAAGCUUUCCUUGAUCUCCAGCUCUCCAGCUCCCCAACUAAAAGUCAUCCCCUACCUCUGGAGCUCCCACAGCUUCUGGUGAUGGUGAGGGGGCAGCAAUCUGAGGACUUCCCUCGCUGCUCCAUUACUAGUCACUUACAUAGAGUUGUGCAGAUAGCAUCUCAGGGUGAUGAAAUGUCCCUGCAGUGAGGAGCUAGGCCAGCCCGCCCUGUUCCAGGCCCAGGUCGCCCACUCACGGCCACGGGCUCACUGAAGCCAUAGCAACCCUGGGUUGGAGGCACCCCUGUUACCAUUUCACACAGUCAAACACAGGCUCAGGGAGGCAAUGCCACACCCAAAUCCAGUGGCAAGUAAGUGGCAGAUCUCAGACUAAAAUUUGUUUUUUAGUUUUGUGGGGUUUUCUAUAUCAGCCUACAUCAUGCUUUUUUUUUAAUCUCUUUUGAGAUGGAGUCUUGCUCUGUCGCCCAGGCUGGAGUACAGUGGUGCUAUCUCCACUCACUGCAACCUCUCCCUCCUGGGUUCAAGGAAGUCUCCUUCCUCAGCCUCCCCAGUAGCUGGGAUUACAGGCAUGUGCCACCACGCCUGGCUAAUUUUUGUAUUUUUAGUAGAGAUAGGAUUUCGCCAUGUUGGCCAGGCUGGCCUCGAACUGCUGACCUCAGGUGAUCUGCCCGCCUUGGCCUCCCAAAGUGCUGGGAUUACAGGCAUGAGCCACUGUGCCCAGCCUGAGCCACUGGGCCUGGCCCAUCAUGCUUUGACGGGACUAAAAUUUGGAUUUGCUGGGCAUGGUCACUCGUGCUUGUAUUCCCAGCACUUUGGGAGGCUGAGGCAGGAGGAUCACUUGAGGCCAGGCUUUUGAGACCAGCCUGGGCAACACAGUGAGACCCCACCUUUAAAAAAAAAUUGUUUUUUGGCCGGGCGUGGUGGCUCACGCCUGUAAUCCCAGCAUUUUGGGAGGCCAAGGCAGGCGGAUCACGAAGUCAGGAGAUCAAGACCAUCCUGGCUAACACGGUGAAACUCCGACUCUACUAAAAAUAUAAAAAAUUAGCCCGGCGUGGUGGCAGGCACCUAUAGUCCCAGCUACUCGGGAGGCUGAGGCAGGAGAAUGGUGUGAACCCGGGAGGCGGAGCUUGCAGUGAGCCAAAAUCGCACCACUGUGCUCCAGCCUGGGCAACAGAGUGAGACUCCGUCUCAAAAAAAAAAAAAAAUUUUUUUUUUUUUAAAUUAGCAGUGGCACACACAUGUAGUCCCAGGGACUUAGGAGGCUAAGGUGGGAGGAUUGCUUGAGCCCAUGAGCUCAAGGCUGCAGUGAGAGACAGAGCGAGAUCUUUUAAGAGGUGGCUCUUAAAAAAAUAAUAAUAAAAAUAAAAGUUGGAUCUGAUGGAUUGCAAAAAACAAGCGCAAAGCACUAUAUGCUUCUUCCAUGGGUCCCACAUGGACCGGGAGCCCUUUGAAUUCAGGGCCUGGUGCUCCUUGCCCUCUGCCUACUCUCAGUGCUCAGCACAGGGCGUUGCUUAGGGUGGGGGCUCCUGGGGGUAGAAGGUCAAGGGCUUUGGCUAUAGUCCUGGCAUCAAACUUGGGGUGUAAUCCCAGUUCUUCCUCAUAAUAUCAGGUUGGUGCAAAAGUAACUGUGGUUUUCACCAUUAAGAGUAUGUGGUGUAGGGGGCUAGGGGAGGGAUAGCAUUAGGAAAAAUACCUAAUGUAGAUCAUGGGUUGAUGGGUGCAGCAAACCACCAUGGCAUGUAUAUACCUAUGUAACAAACCUGCACAU